This 553-nucleotide ribosomal RNA is filed under the name uncultured crenarchaeote. Its description in RNAcentral is "bacterial SSU rRNA". It matches the Rfam family "Archaeal small subunit ribosomal RNA", at positions 325 to 879 of the family's 1478-position model. The record is from RNAcentral. Lineage: Archaea; Thermoproteati; Thermoproteota.
AUGGGGUGCAGCAGGCGAGAAAACUUUGCAAUGUGCGAAAGCACGACAAGGUUAAUCCGAGUGAUUUCUGCUAAAGGAAUCUUUUGUCAGUCCUAGAAACACUGUUGAAUAAGGGGUGGGCAAGUUCUGGUGUCAGCCGCCGCGGUAAAACCAGCACCUCAAGUGGUCAGGAUGAUUAUUGGGCCUAAAGCAUCCGUAGCCUGUUUUGUCAGUUUUCGGUUAAAUCCAUACGCUCAACGUAUGGGCUGCCGGAAAUACUGCAAAACUAGGGAGUGGGAGAGGUAGACGGUACUCGGGAGGAAGGGGUAAAAUCCUUUGAUCUCUCGAUGACCACCUGUGGCGAAGGCGGUCUACCAGAACACGUCCGACGGUGAGGGAUGAAAGCUGGGGGAGCAAACCGGAUUAGAUACCCGGGUAGUCCCAGCUGUAAACUAUGCAAACUCAGUGAUGCAUUGGCUUGUGGCCAGUGCAGUGCCGCAGAGAAGUCGUUAAGUUUGCCGCCUGGGAAGUACGUACGCAAGUAUGAAACUUAAAGGAAUUGGCGGGGGAGCAC